RNAcentral lists this unclassified non-coding RNA (715 nucleotides) under Hevea brasiliensis (rubber tree). Lineage: Eukaryota; Viridiplantae; Streptophyta; Magnoliopsida; Malpighiales; Euphorbiaceae. The record is from RNAcentral.
GUUGAUUUGAGUCGUCUCCUUCUACCCUGCUAAAGGCAUGUAUUUCCACAGCCAACACGUAAAUUUCAACACCUAACCUAAAUAAUUAAGCUUACAAUUUCCAGCAAGAGAAAAGGAAACAGAAACUAGUGAUGAAACCGAUCCUUUCCCUCGUAGAGCAUAGAAUUUGAUCCGCAAAUGAACCCUAUUAAAUUAUACAUAAUCCUAACCUUUUUGCUCGGCCUUGCCAUUACUACUGAAGCACAACCCAAGUAUCUCGUUCAUCUUUGCUCAAACGCAACCACUUUCCCCACAAACAGCACCUACCAGGCCAAUCUAAAUAUCCUCUUCUCUUCUCUUUCUUCCAACGCAUCUCGCAGUAUUGGGUUUCACUUCACCUCCGCCGGCCAGGACCCAGAUGACGUUUACGGCCUAUUUCUCUGCCGUGGCGAUUAUAGCCCCGAUGUUUGUCAAGAUUGUGUCUCCUUCGCCACCCAGGUGGAUCUAGUCCGACGUUGCCCAGUUGAGAAAGAGGGCAUAAUAUGGUACGAUCAGUGCCUUGUACGUUACUCAAACAAGUCUUUCUUCUCCACCGUGGACCAAAAUCCUACGGUGUAUAUGCGGAAUGUAAAUAAUAUCACUGAUGUAGAUCGUUUUAACAAUCUAUUGAUUACAACCAUGAGAGAGGUGGCUGCUGAGGCCGCAUUUGCUCCAUCAGGAACCAAGAAGUUUGCUG